This 250-nucleotide ribosomal RNA is filed under the name uncultured bacterium. RNAcentral describes it as "partial 16S ribosomal RNA". It matches the Rfam family "Bacterial small subunit ribosomal RNA", at positions 355 to 621 of the family's 1533-position model. The record is from RNAcentral.
UAAGGGAUAUUGGUCAAUGGGCGAAAGCCUGAACCAGCAACGCCGCGUGCAGGAUGACGGCCUUCGGGUUGUAAACUGCUUUGGAAGGGGACGAGCAAGGACGGUACCCUUCGAACAAGUCACGGCUAACUACGUGCCAGCAGCCGCGGUAAAACGUAGGUGGCAAGCGUUAUCCGGAUUUACUGGGCGUAAAGCAUGUGCAGACGGGUUGGUAAGUGGUGUAUGAAAGCGUCCGGCUUAACCGGGCAAG